This 244-nucleotide unclassified non-coding RNA is filed under the name uncultured Sordariales. RNAcentral describes it as "sequence contains ITS2". The stretch from base 1 to 52 matches the Rfam family "5.8S ribosomal RNA", at positions 103 to 154 of the family's 154-position model. RNAcentral also lists the same sequence under 1 other name. The record is from RNAcentral. Lineage: Eukaryota; Fungi; Ascomycota; Sordariomycetes; Sordariales.
AACGCACAUUGCGCCCGCCAGUAUUCUGGCGGGCAUGCCUGUUCGAGCGUCAUUUCAACCAUCAAGCCCCCGGCUUGCGUUGGGGCCCUGCGGCUGCCGCAGGCCCUUAAAAACAGUGGCGGGCUCGCUGUCACACCGAGCGUAGUAAUACAUCUCGCUUUGGACGUGCGGCGGGUUCUUGCCGUGAAACACCCCCCUUCUCAAGGUUGACCUCGGAUCAGGUAGGAAUACCCGCUGAACUUAA